GACGACGCUGGCGGCGUGCCUAAUACAUGCAAGUCGAACGGUCUUUUCUAUGGAAGCUUGCUUCCACUGAGAAGAUAGUGGCGAACGGGUGAGUAACACGUGGGUAACCUGCCCAUAAGAGGGGGAUAACAUCCGGAAACGGGUGCUAAUACCGCAUAGUUUUCUUGAUCGCAUGAUCGGGAAAGGAAAGACGGCCUUUGUGCUGUCGCUUAUGGAUGGACCCGCGGCGUAUUAGUUAGUUGGUGAGGUAACGGCUCACCAAGACGAUGAUACGUAGCCGACCUGAGAGGGUGAUCGGCCACAUUGGGACUGAGACACGGCCCAAACUCCUACGGGAGGCAGCAGUGGGGAAUAUUGCACAAUGGGCGAAAGCCUGAUGCAGCGACGCCGCGUGGGGGAUGACGGUCUUCGGAUUGUAAACCCCUUUCAGUAGGGACGAAGCGCAAGUGACGGUACCUGCAGAAGAAGCACCGGCCAACUACGUG
Molecule: ribosomal RNA, 485 nt
Filed under: uncultured bacterium
Lineage: Bacteria
Description: bacterial SSU rRNA
Rfam family: Bacterial small subunit ribosomal RNA
Source: RNAcentral